AGAGUUUGAUCCUGGCUCAGGGUGAACGCUAGCGGUGCGCCUAACACAUGCAAGUCGAGCGGUAGAAGAUCUAGCUUGCUAGAUCUUUGAGAGCGGCGAACGGGUGAGUAACACGUUGGUAUCUGCCCCCAAGUCAGGGAUAGCCAUUGGAAACGAUGAUUAAUACCGGAUAGUCUCUUCGGAGUAAAAAUUUAUUGCUUGGGGAGGAACCUGCGGUCUAUCAGCUAGUUGGUGAGGUAAUAGCUCACCAAGGCUAUGACGGAUAUCUGGUCUGAGAGGAUGAUCAGACACAAUGGAACUGAGACACGGUCCAUACUCCUACGGGAGGCAGCAGUGAGGAAUCUUCCACAGUGGACGAAAGUCUGAUGGAGCGACACCGCGUGAAGGAUGAAGGCCUAACGGUUGUAAACUUCUUUUCUGAAGGAGCAUAAUGAGAGUACUUCAGGAAUAAGGGACGGCUAAAUAUGUGCCAGCAGCCGCGGUAAUACAUAUGUCUCGAGCGUUACCCGGAAUCACUGGGUGUAAAGGGUUCGUAGGUGGUUUAGAAAGUUGGAUAUGAAAGACCGGGGCUCAACCCCGUGUUGGUGUUUAAAACU
Molecule: ribosomal RNA, 596 nt
Filed under: uncultured Campylobacterota bacterium
Lineage: Bacteria; Pseudomonadati; Campylobacterota
Description: bacterial SSU rRNA
Rfam family: Bacterial small subunit ribosomal RNA
Source: RNAcentral